GAUGAACGCUGGCGGCGUGCCUAAUACAUGCCAGUCGAGCGAACAGACGAGGAGCUUGCUCCUCUGACGUUAGCGGCGGACGGGUGAGUAACACGUGGAUAACCUACCUAUAAGACUGGGAUAACUUCGGGAAACCGGAGCUAAUACCGGAUAAUAUAUUGAACCGCAUGGUUCAAUAGUGAAAGACGGUUUUGCUGUCACUUAUAGAUGGAUCCGCGCCGCAUUAGCUAGUUGGUAAGGUAACGGCUUACCAAGGCAACGAUGCGUAGCCGACCUGAGAGGGGGGAUGGGCCAAACGGAACUGGGAAAAGGGCCAAAACCCCUAGGGAAGGCAGCGGAAGGAAACCUUCGGCAAGGGGCGAAGGCUUGAGGAAGAAACGCGGGGGAAGUGAGAAAGGUCUUCGGAUCGAAAAACCCGGUUAUUAGGGAAGAAAAAAUGUGAAAGAAACAAGGAAGGUCUGAACGGAACUAAACAAGAAAGCAACGGCUAACUACGG
This 497-nucleotide ribosomal RNA is filed under the name uncultured bacterium. RNAcentral's name for it is "partial 16S ribosomal RNA". It matches the Rfam family "Bacterial small subunit ribosomal RNA", at positions 28 to 506 of the family's 1533-position model. The record is from RNAcentral.